AACGAACGCUGGCGGCAUGCCUAACACAUGCAAGUCGAACGAACCCUUCGGGGUUAGUGGCGCACGGGUGCGUAACGCGUGGGAAUCUGCCCUUUGCUUCGGAAUAACAGUUAGAAAUGACUGCUAAUACCGGAUGAUGUCUUCGGACCAAAGAUUUAUCGGCAAAGGAUGAGCCCGCGUAGGAUUAGGUAGUUGGUGGGGUAAAGGCCUACCAAGCCGACGAUCCUUAGCUGGUCUGAGAGGAUGAUCAGCCACACUGGGACUGAGACACGGCCCAGACUCCUACGGGAGGCAGCAGUGGGGAAUAUUGGACAAUGGGCGAAAGCCUGAUCCAGCAAUGCCGCGUGAGUGAUGAAGGCCUUAGGGUUGUAAAGCUCUUUUACCAGGGAUGAUAAUGACAGUACCUGGAGAAUAAGCUCCGGCUAACUCCGUG
RNAcentral lists this ribosomal RNA (433 nucleotides) under uncultured bacterium. RNAcentral describes it as "bacterial SSU rRNA". It matches the Rfam family "Bacterial small subunit ribosomal RNA", at positions 29 to 507 of the family's 1533-position model. The record is from RNAcentral.